GCUCUUGUAGUUCAGUUGGUUAGAGCACUCAUAUAGUAAAUGAAAGGUCUUGAGUUCAACUCUUCGUCGGAGCA
RNAcentral lists this transfer RNA (74 nucleotides) under Ipomoea nil (Japanese morning glory). It matches the Rfam family "tRNA". Rfam says of the family: Transfer RNA (tRNA) molecules are approximately 80 nucleotides in length. Lineage: Eukaryota; Viridiplantae; Streptophyta; Magnoliopsida; Solanales; Convolvulaceae. The record is from Rfam by way of RNAcentral.